RNAcentral lists this ribosomal RNA (234 nucleotides) under uncultured bacterium. RNAcentral describes it as "partial 16S ribosomal RNA". It matches the Rfam family "Bacterial small subunit ribosomal RNA", at positions 97 to 334 of the family's 1533-position model. The record is from RNAcentral.
GGCGGACGGGUGAGUAAUGUAUAGUUAAUCUGCCCUUUAGAGGGGGAUAACAGUUGGAAACGACUGCUAAUACCCCAUACUCCUUUUACAUUAAUUGUAAUUGGGAAAUGUUUUUCGCUAAAGGAUGAGACUAUAUGGUAUCAGGUAGUUGGUGGGGUAAGAGCCUACCAAGCCAAUGACGCCUAGCUGGUCUGAGAGGAUGAUCAGCCACACUGGAACUGAGACACGGUCCAG